Molecule: ribosomal RNA, 1450 nt
Filed under: uncultured bacterium
Lineage: Bacteria
Description: 16S ribosomal RNA
Rfam family: Bacterial small subunit ribosomal RNA
Source: RNAcentral
CAGGCUUAACACAUGCAAGUCGAGGGGCAUCAGGAAGAAAGCUUGCUUUCUUUGCUGGCGACCGGCGCACGGGUGAGUAACACGUAUCCAACCUGCCCUUUACUCGGGGAUAGCCUUUCGAAAGAAAGAUUAAUACCCGAUAGCAUAAUGAUUCCGCAUGGUUUCAUUAUUAAAGGAUUCCGGUAAAGGAUGGGGAUGCGUUCCAUUAGGUUGUUGGUGAGGUAACGGCCCACCAAGCCUUCGAUGGAUAGGGGUUCUGAGAGGAAGGUCCCCCACAUUGGAACUGAGACACGGUCCAAACUCCUACGGGAGGCAGCAGUGAGGAAUAUUGGUCAAUGGGCGCUAGCCUGAACCAGCCAAGUAGCGUGAAGGAUGAAGGCUCUAUGGGUCGUAAACUUCUUUUAUAUAAGAAUAAAGUGCAGUAUGUAUACUGUUUUGUAUGUAUUAUAUGAAUAAGGAUCGGCUAACUCCGUGCCAGCAGCCGCGGUAAUACGGAGGAUCCGAGCGUUAUCCGGAUUUAUUGGGUUUAAAGGGAGCGUAGGUGGACUGGUAAGUCAGUUGUGAAAGUUUGCGGCUCAACCGUAAAAUUGCAGUUGAUACUGUCAGUCUUGAGUACAGUAGAGGUGGGCGGAAUUCGUGGUGUAGCGGUGAAAUGCUUAGAUAUCACGAAGAACUCCGAUUGCGAAGGCAGCUCACUGGACUGCAACUGACACUGAUGCUCGAAAGUGUGGGUAUCAAACAGGAUUAGAUACCCUGGUAGUCCACACAGUAAACGAUGAAUACUCGCUGUUUGCGAUAUACAGUAAGCGGCCAAGCGAAAGCAUUAAGUAUUCCACCUGGGGAGUACGCCGGCAACGGUGAAACUCAAAGGAAUUGACGGGGGCCCGCACAAGCGGAGAAACAUGUGGUUUAAUUCGAUGAUACGCGAGGAACCUUACCCGGGCUUAAAUUGCAGUGGAAUGAUGUGGAAACAUGUCAGUGAGCAAUCACCGCUGUGAAGGUGCUGCAUGGUUGUCGUCAGCUCGUGCCGUGAGGUGUCGGCUUAAGUGCCAUAACGAGCGCAACCCUUAUCUUCAGUUACUAACAGGUCAUGCUGAGGACUCUGGAGAGACUGCCGUCGUAAGAUGUGAGGAAGGUGGGGAUGACGUCAAAUCAGCACGGCCCUUACGUCCGGGGCUACACACGUGUUACAAUGGGGGGUACAGAAGGCAGCUAGCGGGUGACCGUAUGCUAAUCCCAAAAUCCUCUCUCAGUUCGGAUCGAAGUCUGCAACCCGACUUCGUGAAGCUGGAUUCGCUAGUAAUCGCGCAUCAGCCACGGCGCGGUGAAUACGUUCCCGGGCCUUGUACACACCGCCCGUCAAGCCAUGGGAGCCGGGGGUACCUGAAGUACGUAACCGCAAGGAUCGUCCUAGGGUAAAACUGGUGACUGGGGCUAAGUCGUAACAAGG